RNAcentral lists this long non-coding RNA (371 nucleotides) under Arabidopsis lyrata. RNAcentral's name for it is "long non-coding RNA (ALYR_LNC000412)". Lineage: Eukaryota; Viridiplantae; Streptophyta; Magnoliopsida; Brassicales; Brassicaceae. The record is from RNAcentral.
GUGGAUAAAAUUGACUAUCUUUCUCAAGAAGAAAAACAAAUGAAGUUUACUACUUUGCAAAGCCAUAGUUAGGAAUUUUCUUUUCUCUUUUUCUCUGCUAUAGUCAUCUAAUAAGUAAGAACAGUUAGAAGAAGAGAAGAUCGAAUUUGAAGUAUGUGAUUCGAUCUCAGACAUUUAUUUGAUUCGAUGCUAUUGAUGAUCGAAUCUAGAAUCUCAAUCACGUUUACCACCACCAUCUCCGACGGCACUAACUUCACCAGCGCCGAUGAAAGAACCAAUUCCCUCUCCGCCUCUCCAGUCACAAUCACGCACCGCCGCUUUCAUCCCCACUAAAAAUUCCAAAUCCCAAAUCACGCCGUCACCUAAUCCAU